GCUGGGCAUGAUGGUGUGUGCCUGUAAUCCCAGCUACUUGGGGGGCUGAGGCAGGAGGAUCGCUUGAGCCCGGGAGGUCAAGGCUACAGUGAGCUGUGUUCAUGCCACUAUACCCCAGCCUGGGCAACAAAGUGAGUCCCUGACUCAA
RNAcentral lists this non-coding RNA (148 nucleotides) under Gorilla gorilla gorilla (western lowland gorilla). Lineage: Eukaryota; Metazoa; Chordata; Mammalia; Primates; Hominidae. The record is from Rfam by way of RNAcentral.